Molecule: transfer RNA, 66 nt
Filed under: Muribaculaceae bacterium
Lineage: Bacteria; Pseudomonadati; Bacteroidota; Bacteroidia; Bacteroidales; Muribaculaceae
Description: tRNA-Pro
Rfam family: tRNA
About the family: Transfer RNA (tRNA) molecules are approximately 80 nucleotides in length.
Source: RNAcentral
GAGAAUAUGGUGUAAUGGCGCACGGCGCGGAUCCGGUAGGUGCAGGUUCGACUCCUGCUAUUCUCA